Oncorhynchus keta (chum salmon) is the source of this 3763-nucleotide long non-coding RNA. RefSeq lists it as uncharacterized. The record is from RefSeq and is a predicted model, not a curated record. The transcript is spliced from 8 exons. Lineage: Eukaryota; Metazoa; Chordata; Actinopteri; Salmoniformes; Salmonidae.
GGGUACAGGUUAGUAAUGAGGCUAUAUACAUGUGGUCGUGGUACAGAGUCAAUGUGCAGGGGUACAGGUUAGUAAUGAGGCUAUAUACAUGUGGUCGUGGUACAGAGUCAAUGUGCGGGGGUACAGGUUAGUAAUGAGGCUAUAUACAUGUGGUCGUGGUACAGAGUCAAUGUGCGGGGGUACAGGUUAGUAAUGAGGCUAUAUACAUGUGGUCGUGGUACAGAGUCAAUGUGCAGGGGUACAGGUUAGUAAUGAGGCUAUAUACAUGUGGUCGUGGUACAGAGUCAAUGUGCGGGGGUACAGGUUAGUAAUGAGGCUAUAUACAUGUGGUCGUGGUACAGAGUCAAUGUGCGGGGGUACAGGUUAGUAAUGAGGCUAUAUACAUGUGGUCGUGGUACAGAGUCAAUGUGCAGGGGUACAGGUUAGUAAUGAGGCUAUAUACAUGUGGUCGUGGUACAGAGUCAAUGUGCGGGGGUACAGGUUAGUAAUGAGGCUAUAUACAUGUGGUCGUGGUACAGAGUCAAUGUGCGGGGGUACAGGUUAGUAAUGAGGCUAUAUACAUGUGGUCGUGGUACAGAGUCAAUGUGCAGGGGUACAGGUUAGUAAUGAGGCUAUAUACAUGUGGUCGUGGUACAGAGUCAAUGUGCGGGGGUACAGGUUAGUAAUGAGGCUAUAUACAUGUGGUCGUGGUACAGAGUCAAUGUGCGGGGGUACAGGUUAGUAAUGAGGCUAUAUACAUGUGGUCGUGGUACAGAGUCAAUGUGCAGGGGUACAGGUUAGUAAUGAGGCUAUAUACAUGUGGUAGUGGUACAGAGUCAAUGUGCGGGGGUACAGGUUAGUAAUGAGGCUAUAUACAUGUGGUAGUGGUACAGAGUCAAUGUGCAGGGGUACAGGUUAGUAAUGAGGCUAUAUACAUGUGGUCGUGGUACAGAGUCAAUGUGCAGGGGUACAGGUUAGUAAUGAGGCUAUAUACAUGUGGUCGUGGUACAGAGUCAAUGUGCGGGGGUACAGGUUAGUAAUGAGGCUAUAUACAUGUGGUCGUGGUACAGAGUCAAUGUGCGGGGGUACAGGUUAGUAAUGAGGCUAUAUACAUGUGGUCGUGGUACAGAGUCAAUGUGCGGGGGUACAGGUUAGUAAUGAGGCUAUAUACAUGUGGUCGUGGUACAGAGUCAAUGUGCAGGGGUACAGGUUAGUAAUGAGGCUAUAUACAUGUGGUCGUGGUACAGAGUCAAUGUGCGGGGGUACAGGUUAGUAAUGAGGCUAUAUACAUGUGGUCGUGGUACAGAGUCAAUGUGCGGGGGUACAGGUUAGUAAUGAGGCUAUAUACAUGUGGUCGUGGUACAGAGUCAAUGUGGGGGUGUACAGGUUAGUAAUGAGGCUAUAUAUAUGUGGUCGUGGUACAGAGUCAAUGUGCAGGGGUACAGGUUAGUAAUGAGGCUAUAUACAUGUGGUCGUGGUACAGAGUCAAUGUGCAGGGGUACAGGUUAGUAAUGAGGCUAUAUACAUGUGGUCGUGGUACAGAGUCAAUGUGCGGGGGUACAGGUUAGUAAUGAGGCUAUAUACAUGUGGUCGUGGUACAGAGUCAAUGUGCGGGGGUACAGGUUAGUAAUGAGGCUAUAUACAUGUGGUCGUGGUACAGAGUCAAUGUGCGGGGGUACAGGUUAGUAAUGAGGCUAUAUACAUGUGGUCGUGGUACAGAGUCAAUGUGCAGGGGUACAGGUUAGUAAUGAGGCUAUAUACAUGUGGUCGUGGUACAGAGUCAAUGUGCGGGGGUACAGGUUAGUAAUGAGGCUAUAUACAUGUGGUCGUGGUACAGAGUCAAUGUGCGGGGGUACAGGUUAGUAAUGAGGCUAUAUACAUGUGGUCGUGGUACAGAGUCAAUGUGCAGGGGUACAGGUUAGUAAUGAGGCUAUAUACAUGUGGUCGUGGUACAGAGUCAAUGUGCGGGGGUACAGGUUAGUAAUGAGGCUAUAUACAUGUGGUCGUGGUACAGAGUCAAUGUGCGGGGGUACAGGUUAGUAAUGAGGCUAUAUACAUGUGGUCGUGGUACAGAGUCAAUGUGCAGGGGUACAGGUUAGUAAUGAGGCUAUAUACAUGUGGUAGUGGUACAGAGUCAAUGUGCGGGGGUACAGGUUAGUAAUGAGUCUAUAUACAUGUGGUCGUGGUACAGAGUCAAUGUGCAGGGGUACAGGUUAGUAAUGAGGCUAUAUACAUGUGGUCGUGGUACAGAGUCAAUGUGCAGGGGUACAGGUUAGUAAUGAGGCUAUAUACAUGUGGUCGUGGUACAGAGUCAAUGUGCAGGGGUACAGGUUAGUAAUGAGGCUAUAUACAUGUGGUAGUGGUACAGAGUCAAUGUGCGAGGGUACAGGUUAGUAAUGAGGCUAUAUACAUGUGGUCGUGGUACAGAGUCAAUGUGCAGGGGUACAGGUUAGUAAUGAGGCUAUAUACAUGUGGUCGUGGUACAGAGUCAAUGUGCAGGGGUACAGGUUAGUAAUGAGGCUAUAUACAUGUGGUAGUGGUACAGAGUCAAUGUGCAGGGGUACAGGUUAGUAAUGAGGCUAUAUACAUGUGGUAGUGGUACAGAGUCAAUGUGCAGGGGUACAGGUUAGUAAUGAGGCUAUAUACAUGUGGUAGUGGUACAGAGUCAAUGUGCAGGGGUACAGGCCAGUCCAGAUCAUUGAGGUAAUAUGUACAACUGAGAUGUGUUGUUGCGGUACAUGACAAGCACUGCAUGCUGUGGUUUCACACGUUGCCAAAACAGGACUGUCAUGGCUUUGACAGUGACAUAUGAGCUGGGGGUAUUGUCUAUGAGUGGGUUCUCCUGGCACUGAACAGUGUAUAGACGUGGUUGCACUGUGAUCUGAUCAACCACAGUAGAGAUGUGGGCUCAAUCACUAGAUCAACGUCAUACAUCACACCACUCACGACACUGGGGGUGUGGUAACGACAUGGAGGUGAUACUCUAUGUGGGGUCUCUGUCUUUCUCUCUCACUUGGUCUGUCUGUCUCUCAUUCUCUCUCUUUUCCUCUUUCUCUCUCACCAUCAUAGAGAACACACAGGACGGGGUCUUUUACACCCUGAUGUUCUCCAUUCAGCAGCUGGAGGCUGACACAAACACACUAUAAAUCACACACCACUGACAGCUCUACUAGGGAGAGAAGCUCACAGUCACACCAUCAAACCUCCUCUUGAAUAUUCCCAUCCCUUUCUCUUUCGCUCUACUCCUGUCUCUCUCUCCAUUUCCCUCUCUCUCUCUUCCCUCUGGGUGGUCAUUUUGUUGUGAAAGCGCAGCCGACUACAUCAAACCCCUCCACUCACCUCUCUCUAUAUGCUUUGCUCGCUGCUCUUACCUUUUUUUGUUUAGGGUGCGUUGUAAUCAAAUAAGCGGGGUCCCCGGGUACCUGUGGGGAUUGGGUGUGUUAUGACAGUGACACGGAAAGGGAAUGGGAGUGUGCUCUGGUGAUCAGGCCGGGCGGGCUGGGAGAGCGAAUGGGAGAGCAGCGCUGCAUGUCUCUCUGUACUCUGUCACCCAUGGCACAGUCCGUCUGGGGCCCCUGAGCUCAUCUGGCCCUCAACACUCCUCUACGCCCCAUAGAGUCUGUACGGAUCUCACUGCUGUGCCUCAGGCCCCCUCUCUGUUCUCUCUCUGGGUGUGCACGUGCAUAGUAUGUGAGUGCACAUUUUUAUAUCAUAUUGUAUAUAGCUAACCCCAUGUUCUAUUCCACAGGAUAUACUUACACCACUUUGUGUCCCAUUCUAUAGU